CGAUAGCUCAACUGGAUAGAGCAGCGGUCUUCUAAACCGCAGGUUGCAGGUUCGAGUCCUGCUCG
This 65-nucleotide transfer RNA is filed under the name marine eukaryotic metagenome. It matches the Rfam family "tRNA", at positions 5 to 66 of the family's 71-position model. Rfam says of the family: Transfer RNA (tRNA) molecules are approximately 80 nucleotides in length. The record is from RNAcentral.